GCUCUAUGAUUGGACCUCUUGCUAAAUUGUUAUCGCGCAUACGUACUGAUCAGAGCAUGACUUCUUCUUCUAUGGCCUUUCAAUCAGGAGCUUCUUCCUCUUCUUCAUCCUCUUCAUCUCCUUCCAUCCUUCCAUGGAAUCAUGAUGUAUUCUUGAGCUUUAGAGGUGAAGAUACUCGCAAUAAUUUUACUGCCCAUCUCUAUGAUGCUCUACAUCGAAAGGGAAUCAACACUUACAUAGACAACGAACUUAGAAGUGGGAAGGAAAUUUCACAGGCACUUCUCAAAGCUAUAGAAGAGUCGAGAAUUGCCAUCAUUAUACUCUCUCAAAACUAUGCAUCAUCCACAUGGUGCUUAGACGAGCUGAUGAAGAUCCUUGAUUGUAAUAAAACAAGGCAACAAAUCAUUCUUCCUGUGUUUUACAACGUAGAUCCAUCAGAAGUACGACAUCAAAGAAAGAGUUUUGGUGAAGCAUUUGCAAAACAUCAACAUAGGUUUAAUGAUGACAUGAAGGUGCGGAGGUGGAAGGAAACACUCGAAGAGGUGGCCAACUUGUCCGGGUUUCAUUUAGGGAACAGGAACGAAGCUGAAUUCAUCAACGAAAUUGUUGAAGAGGUUUCGAGAAUAGUAAAUCGUAUAUACUUAAACGUUGCCGAGUAUCCAGUCGGAAUAGAGUCUCAUAUAAAUGAUAUUAAUUUGCUUCUAAGUAUUGGGAUGAAUGACAAACGCAUGAUAGGGAUCCUUGGAGUUGGUGGAAUUGGAAAGACAACCAUCGCCAAAGCAAUCUACAACUCAAUUGCUUAUCAAUUUGAAGCUAUCUGUUUUCUUGCAAAUAUUCGAGAAGAAUCAAAUCGAGAGGGUGGUCUAAUGCACCUCCAGGAGACACUUCUUUAUGAGAUCUUAGGAGACUCUAAGAAUUUGAAAGUUGGUAAUGUUGAUAGAGGAAUCAAUGUGAUAAAGCAUAGGCUUUGCUCUAAAAAGAUUCUACUGAUUCUUGACGAUGUGGAUAAGUUGGUCCAAUUAAAAAAUCUAGCUGGACAUCGUGAUUGGUUUGGUUUAGGAAGUAGAAUCAUCAUAACAACAAGAUAUCAAAAUUUAUUGACUAGUCAUGCAGUUGAUUCAACAUACAAGAUGAAAGAGUUGGAUCACGACAAAGCUCUUCAGCUCUUUAGUUUACAUGCCUUCAAGAGAGAAAAGCCUACUGAUGAUUAUGCGGAACUAACAGAAGAUGUAGUACGAUAUGCAGGGGGUCUUCCACUAGCUUUAACGGUUCUAGGUUCAGAUCUAAAUGUUAGAAGAAGCAUACAUCAAUGGAAAAGUGCAUUGGAUAAGCUCAAGAGAAUUCCUAACAAAGAUAUUCAAAUGAUACUUGGAACAAGUUAUGAAGGAUUGGAUGAUAAUGAGAAGGAUAUUUUCCUUGAUAUUGCUUGUUUCUUCAAAACAAAAGAUGUAGAUUAUGUCAUCAAAGUAUUAGAUAGUUGUCGUUUCCUUCCAGAUGAUGGUAUUUCAAGGCUUAUGGAGAAGUGUCUCAUAAGUGUUGAUGAGCAUGGAAAAUUGUGGAUGCAUGACUUGCUACAAGAUAUGGGUAGAGAAAUUGUUCGACAAGAAUCACCUAAAGAACCUGGCAAACGUAGCAGGUUAUGGUUUCAUGAAGAUGUUCGUUCUGUACUAGAAGAAAAUACGGUAACAAACAAAAUUGAAGGGAUAUUGAUAGAUUUGCCAGAACGAGACUCGAUAUGCUUACAUUCCAAAGCAUUCAAGAAGAUGAAAAGACUCAGAAUAUUUAUAAAUCGCAAUGCAUGUUUAUCUGGAGGGCCUAAUUACCUUUCUAAUGAGUUAAGCUUGCUUGAUUUGGGUGAAUGUCCUUUGCAAUCUAUGCCAUCCAAUUUUCAUGGAACAAAACUCAUUGUCUUUGAGAUGCGGCAUAGCCUCAUAAAGGAGUUGGGGGAUGGAUUCAAGCCCAAGAAUUUGACAACUAUGACUUUCGAUGAGUGUAACUUCUUAGAAAAGAUUCCGGAUCUUUCAAGCAUCUCAAAUUUGAAGGAAUUGAGUGUACAAAAUUGUACAAGACUAGUUGAGGUGCAUGAUUCCGUUGGAUCUUUGGAAAAUCUUUCUAAUUUGGAUUUUUGGGGAUGCUCUAAACUCCAAAUCCUUCCAAGAAGCCUCAAUUUGAGGUCUUUACGCGAGCUUUUUCUUCAAGGUUGCUCAAGCCUUCAUUAUCUUCCUAAAAUCGAGUGUAAAAUGGAAUGUUUAAGCGAGUUGAAUCUAAGUGGCACCGCAAUAGAAGAACUGCCUUUAUCCAUCGGGAACCUUGUUGGACUUGAGGUAUUAGAACUACACUGCUGCAAAAACCUUAAGCGUCUCCCAAAUAAUGCUUGCAUUCAGUUGCAACAUUUAGAUUAUAUCGACAUUUCUGAUUGUCCAAAUUGUGAAUUGGCGCCUCCAACGAAUUCAAGCAAUGGGAGCACUGGAUUACAAGUAUCGAAUCUUCAAAUUAGUUGUUCCCAUUCAGAAUCAAAUUUAUUUACCAGUUUGCAAUGGUUAGAUCUAUCGAAGACUAAAAUUGUUAGCCUUCCCACAAGCAUCAAAGAAUUCGUUGCACUAACAAAUCUUGACUUGCGCCAUUGUGAGAAACUUGAAGAAAUAAUAGAGCUUCCACCAAAUAUAAGACACGUAGAUGUUGUGGGAUGCAAGUCAUUAGAGAGAUUUUCGGAAGUAUCAAAAAUAUUGGAAUUCAAUGGAAGCCACAUCAGAUCUUUAGAAGAAAUUGAGUUGUCCGGUUGCGACAAAAUGCAUGAGAAUAUAUGGAAUGAAAAAGUGCAAAAUCCAUUAUUGUGGAAGGGAGACUAUGAAUAUGAUACUACUUUGUUUCCAGAAAAUCAGAUUUCAGAGUGGUUGAGUUAUGUUCAUGAGUUUUUAAAAGAUGAUGAUGAUGGCAGACGGAGGGGACAUAAAGAGUGGGUAAUAGAUAUUGAGGGGCCACACUAUUUGGAGGAGAUAAGCGGAAUUGUAUUAUAUCACGUAGUGUUUGUUAAAGAUGUUGAAAGAUGGACGACAGAUAUUGGUUGUAAUACUAAGAUAACUAGUAACAGCUCAAAUCAUGUAUGCUGUAUUAAAGAAGGAGUACAAUUGGUUAAUUUGGAUUGUUCGUACACAAAAGAGGGAAAUACUCCUGGAUAUGUUGUAUGGGUGGGGUACUCCAAUUUACAAUCUUUUGAACUAAAGGUUUUGGACAAUUUGCGAGUUCAAUUUGAUUUCCAAUAUUCUUAUGAAAAGGUGGUGCGGUUUUAUAAAAGUUGCAGAGCCAAAGUGGUAUACAAGAAUGAAAGGAGAGCAAAUAAAAAAAGAAAAAUGGAUGAAGAAAUUUGCAGUGUAUGAUGUAAUUCAUGUUGAUAGACAAGGAAAUGAAGCGGUUCAUUUACUUGCAAGGCACGCUUGCUUUGUGGAUGAUACUAUUCAAUGGUGGCAUCAAUGUCCAAAUUUUAUUCAUUCUAGGAUCUUACUUGAUUCUAAUUUGUAAUGGGGCAUCCUAAGCACCAUCGAUUUGGCAUAAUCUUUGUGGGAAACAGGAUUCCAGAUUCAAUUCCGUCAGUUCAGAUCAUGAAAUGUGUUCAGAACAUGUCUUGCUUGGCUACUUUGUUGGAGAAUCUUUGAAGAUAGAGGUAGACAACCUACGUGUUGAACUCUUUUGCACUUCAAAAUCGGUGUUCUUCAAAACUUUCAGAAUCCAUAUGAUACAAAAGCAUGAAGAUCAGAGAGUGAAAAAUCAUCCAGGGCCAUGAUGAUAGCAUGCGGCCGGAUGCAUUGAGGCUUUGAGAGAGGGUGGGGGAAUACUGCAGAAAGUGUUCAGAAUCGAGAAUGUUAGGAUGCUUUCUGAGGUACCCCAAGCACCAGAACCCACAAAGUUGGAGGAUGCUUUGGUGAGACUUAAUGAUGUCAUUAUACAAGAGAAAUCAGAUGGGAAAUCCAAAAUAAUAUAUCUCAGUUAUUAAAGAUUUUAAUGAUGUCAUUAAAGAAGUGCCAAGAUGGGAAAAGAUAUUGAAGUUUCAUGUAGCAGUGAGAGAACAUACAAGCACUUGUGCAGCAGUGGGAGGAAACAACUCUGGGGGGCCAUCAUAUUUGCCAAAACCUGUCAACUCCAUUCAAUGCAUCCAAAUCAGAGUGAAGAAACUCUUCCAGUAAUCACUGAAACAGUCAACAGAAAACUGGAUAAGAUGAUCAUAGAAGGAGAUUUUCUAGUGCUAACCACAGCAUUUCAAAAACGCCCACAUAAACUUCGUUUCUCAUAGACCAUAUAUGUUGAUACCAAUCACUGUCAUUUGCUAAUUGCUGGAAUUUCCAUCGACAAAAACUCAUGAUAUCUCAGUUGGAGUUGUUUUAGCUAUAAAUUAUUCUGAGGGGUUCUAGCUGAUUAUUCAUAUCAAGAGCAUUUGCAUAAUUUCAAGAUGAUCCCAGGCAUGUGGAGAACGUACGUAAGACCAGAUUUAGAACAAGUUAGUGUAGGGUAACCUAACUAUUUCAGGCAGUUUCAGUAGCUUUAGUACUUGUGCAAAGUUUGAAUGUGACCCAUGCAGUGCUAGUAUAUGUAUGGUUUUGGUCCGAGUUUUGCAGCAUUUGUGUAAUCUGGCAAAGGCAUUUAAAUGUUAGAUAUCAAGCUUGUUGCUUUACUCUGCAAGAUCUCUUUUACAUUAUUUUUGCUAAUGAUACUGUCAAUUUGUAUAUGCAAUUCUGGCUAUUGAGUCUAUGUGGUAAAUUCCUUCCAUAAUAAUUUUUUUUUUGUUGUCUUUUUUAACCGAAUGUGACAACUAUAACUUCCAAUGAUUGUCAUUCCUUAACAAAUUUGAAGGAAUUGAUUGUCGAAUGGUGUACAAGUUUUGUUGUAUUAUAUCUCGUAAUAUUUUUUAAAGAUGCUUCAAGCUGGAGGAGAGAUAUUGGUUGUGAUGCUAAGAUAACCAUAACCAGUAACAGCUCAAAUCAUGUAUGCUGUAUUAAAGAAGGAGUACAAUUGGUUAAUAUGGAUUUGGACAGAGCAACGGAAAAUACGCCUGGAUAUAUUGUAUGGGUGGGGUACUCCAAUUUACAAUCAUUUGAACUAAAGGUUUUGGACAAUUUGCGAGUUCAAUUUGAUCGUUUCUAUGGGGGGAAGGUGCCAUUUUAUAAAAGUUGCAGAGCCAAAGUGAGAGCAAACAAAAAAAGAAAAGUUGGAGGUACUCCAAGCACUGCAGAAAGUGUUCAAGAUCGAGAAUGUUAGGAUGCUUUCUGAGGUACUCCAAGCACCAGAACCCGCAAAGUUGGAGAAUAUGUCUGGCUGGACUACUUUGUUGGAGAGUCUUUGAAGAUAGAGGGAGACAACCUCCAAGUUAAACUUUUUUGCACUUCAAAAUCGGUGUUCUUCAAAUCUUUCAGAAUCCAUAUGAUACAAAAGCAUGAAGAGAGAGUGAAAAAUCAUCCAGGUGUGCUGCGUGAAGAUGAAUGUUUAGGUGGAAUCUUCAAUUUUUGUUUUCUAUUCCCCUGUUUUAUCAGCAACCAAACUGUGGAUGGGGAGACAGAUGAGCAUGAGGAGAUUGAAUUAGAGCAAUGAAUGUAUUGGAUGGUACUUUUGCCUUUUGUUCCAUAGGUUGAACUGUACUAGUUUUUAGGUAAAUAUUGCUCUGCUAUCACUAUCAGGGUCUUGUUCCAUUUUAUAGUUUUUCUGCGUUUUAGCAUUCUAGGCACAAAUUCAUCACCAAUGAUAAAUGAUGUUGAUGUUGGAAGUUCCAUAUGCCAAGGUUUUAUUUUGUCUUUGGACUCUGUAUUUUGUAGAAUUUGUGUGAUUUGGAAAUUCAAAAGGCUGUAAACUUCCACUUUGAACACCAUUGAAUUUCAAGGUUUAUAGGGCAUUUUCUUGUGGUGAUUUUGACUUGUCUAAUUGCAACAAAAUGCAUGCUUGUAGGGAAUCAUGUAAAAAAUCCUUAAUUGGAUGAUCAGGUAUGUCUCUGUCCA
Juglans regia (Persian walnut) is the source of this 5981-nucleotide RNA transcript. It is a transcript of the gene named disease resistance protein RPV1-like, with no coding region annotated. NCBI's taxonomy places the organism in Eukaryota, Viridiplantae, Streptophyta, Magnoliopsida, Fagales, Juglandaceae. The record is from RefSeq and is a predicted model, not a curated record. The transcript is spliced from 11 exons.